GGCCACCGCUUACCACAGACGUUCGCGCAGAACUGGGAGAACGACGAUGCUGCAGUGAGGUUGCGAGAAUGAGCGUGGGGUCGAUGGCCGACGACCGCUGGCAAGUGUGCAGCGACACACACCAUGGGCUGGGAAGAACCGGAGAUGACAUGCGGCGAGCUCUGGCCAGUUGAACGACGCAAAGCAUGUCAACUCGAAUGCGAGUUCGGUGACCAGUAAAGCUCAUGGAGAAAUUCACUAAAGGCCGAGAGAUGGCAGGGAAAUUAUUGAACUGUAGAGCACAGCAAUAGGAAAAAGGAAGGAGGAAGAUUACUGCACUUUGGAUUUUAAACUAGGAAGGAGAGGAGAAUUGCACGCGCAGCCAGCCACACGUCCCAGCGAAAGCACACAGACAGCUGCGUGGCAGCUCUUGCAUGUGGCACAGACAGGAAGUAGCUGCGUGGCAGCCCAGCUCGAUGACCGUCGGCCACCACCAGGGGAAAACAUCUAGAAUAGGGGACAAACCUGGCUCCCUGCAACCAGUGCCACGUCCACUACGCGUGUCCGUUCAAGCCUCACAGUCCUGCAGAGCUCAACGCUCAAAUUACAGGAGGCAAGCAAGCUAGCUCCUGCCGACAUGCACAUGGAGCACACAAGUUAGUGGAUUAGCUGAACACUCUUCCAAACUGAAGCACGUUCAGCCCCACACCCAGCUAGUGGAUUGGUUGAACUCUCUUCCAACUACCAGCUCUUCCCAUCUCUAACCACAGCUUUAAAUUACUGACACAUGGGGAGCAUAACUACAACGUGGAGAGCUCUCUGCUCCCAAAACUAAACCAAGUUUUCAGUCACCGAAACUGAAUUCAGCACUAAACAACUAAAUCCCCAUCCUUAACCCCUUUGAUCCUCACAAUUCCAUGUAAUACAUGUUGACCUUUGUUAACAAAAUUUUCUCACAAAAUAUAGCUCUAAGAAAGUGCUGCAGCAACUCAAGGUCGAAAGCUCACAGAUUACGAAUUAUUGUGCCUCAAAGUGGGGUGAAAAUGUUGAAUCAUGGCUUUUACUAACUGAAUAAGAUUCAGCAUUUUCCCAGACUGACAACUCGACUUGGAGCAGAAUUUUCUCUCGAUUUGAAGUAAAAACGGGAAAAAUGUAUAUUAACAAAAACCGCUCUCCAUCCUGCCCUCUAACAACUUGCUAUAGCAACACAUGGCUGAAAACACACUGAUAGAAAGUUAUAAUGCCCCAAAGUUGUCCCAAACCAAUUGAACUUUCUUGUUUCAGUUAGCUGAAAUCCAAAACCUGACAGUGAAUGUUUUGGGACAGUUUACUGCAAGCUCUGUGCAGGACCAUGCCAAUCUCAUAAUAAGAAAUCUACUCACUAACCAAAGAUCUUCAACAUUGCUACAGGAGUCAUGGCUCAUACCCACAUGGAUUAGUCACAACAAGGAUCUAAAACUGAGUAAGCACACUGAACUUGGUCUUUCAGUUGGCUGAAACCUGAGUUCGGACAUUAAAUCCCGACAGCCCCUCUUUGGACCAACAUUUCUCCCAAAUUUGUGUAGUAUCAAGACAAACCUACUUAAGGAAAUUUGUUCACCAAACCAUCCCCUAACAUUUUUCUAUAGGGCAUGCAGCUCGAAACACCAUGGACAAGGCAAAGGAGAACUCCAAAGUCAGAUGAAAAACAAUGAAUUUCAGCUUCAAUAAACUGAACCUAGUGCUGAAACCCAAAUGUUUGACACCACAGCUUCGAGCAAGCUUUUCUCCUAGUUCUAUGCAAGGUCACGGCGAUCCAACUUAAUGAAAAUUACUCCCCACACCACCCUCUAACAGUUUUAUAUAGAGAGUGCAGACUAUAACUUCAUGGAUCAAAAGUUAUAGUGCCCUGAAGUUAGGUAAAAACACUAGAAUUCAGCUGCAGCUAACUAAACAAGAAACUGAACACACAUGCCUGACAAAGAAUGGUUGGGCAUAGUUUACUCAAUUUUUGUGCAGCACCAAACAAAACUUUCUUAAGAAUAUUUGAUCACCAUUAUAUGGUAUUCAACUUUGCUGCAGAGAUAUACCCCAGAACUCCAUGGAUCAGGCACAAAGAAGCUCCAAAGUUGCACCAAAAACACUAAAAUUCAGAUUUAGUAAGUUGCACUAAGUCUGAAAUCCAAAUCUGUGAGCUCCACUUUGGACCAGUUUUACACCCAGUUUCAUAUGGUUUUAGGGAUAGGUUGCCUAAGCAAAUUUGUACCCCUAGUGUAGCUCUACAACUUUGUUACAUUGUCCACCUUCAAACUGUUUAUAGAUCAAAAGUUGUAAAGCCACCAAAACAGCUAGUUGAUAUUAUUUUCAGCAAACUUCAAAUCUGAAUCAAAACUGAAUUUAGCAUUUUACUCCAACUUUUUCUAUAAAACUUGGAAAUAUCCACACAUGAAAGUUGUUCAACUUUCCAAAACCUACAACUUUUAUAUAUAUACCUUUAGCAAAUUCUCUCUAGAUUUAAAAUUCCACUUUUGGGCUUCUUUAAGGUUUCAAUUGGGAUUGCUUUUCUCCAACAAUCUCACCACUUUGGGUUCAUCACUUAAGAGUAGAGUUACUCCUUAACCUAAGAUCCCACUUUGGUGUAUAUAUCUCAUGUCCAAAAUGACACUGUUUAGAAGUGGUGCACUUAAACUUGAUUGCAAACAGGGUUUUUAAUCUUCCCUCGCUCCCAACAACACAACACAUCACAUUUGAGUUGAACUUUUAACCUAGUAAAAUGCAUUCUAGGGAUAUCAAGCAAAAUGAUGUGGAUGCAUAUGAUGUUAUGCCAAAAUUUUAGUUCUUGUAACACCAGGGGUGUUACAUCCUUCCCCCCUAAAAAGGAAUCUCGUCCCGAGAUUUAAAAUUCUAGGUCAAGUAAUGGAAAAAGGAAAUGCAUCACUAGUUUAUUUCCCCAUUACUCUUAAAAGACGAGAGGCGUACCUCUUUUGGUUUAUGUUAAGGACAAAACACACCAGACCUAGGUUUACAAGACACUAGAAACUCAGGAACAUGCUUUUCUAGAUUCUCCUCCAAUUCUCAUGUGGCUUGGUCUUCCGUGUGUUUUGGUUUCACCGUAUCUUGUAAAACUCGAUAACAUUCUUCGAGUGGCCCUAUCCUUUUGAUCCAAAACCUUUAUGGAAUACUCGAGUAGGUUAAAUCUGGUUGAAUAUUGACAUUUGACAUCUCAAGAACAAGUUCGGGGGCUCGAAGAAACUUCUUCAACUGAUACACGUGGAAUAUGUUGGGCACUGCUGCAAUAUUUUCUGGCAGCUGCACCUUAUAAGCCAGAGGUCCACCAAAAUAUUUGUUCCAAAUAUUGGUUCAUCUUACUACUUCCAGGGUAAUAGGAGUUCCGGACUGCAACUCGAUCACAAAUUCCACGACCCUUUCCGGAGGUAAACCAAGCAAAAUCUUGGGGAACACCUCUAGAAACUUCUUAACAUCGUGCAUAUUCUUUACUUCUUUCACUUAAACUCCUGAUGUAGACAAACCUUAUUAUCUCCCAGAACAGCUUGACUAACCACCUUAUUAUAACCUUCAGUCGAACUGGUUGUCAUCAGGAGCUAAAGUUUCACAUUAAAACCACGUAGGAAGUAUUACCCUUUUCCUCUCACUAGUAUCCACAAAAUCCAAAACAUACUGGGAUAGGCGAGUAAACCUCUCAAAUAGUCCAUUACACUCGCUUCUUCACCUUGCUUUAGAUCCAAAAACGCUUUGAACUUUAUUUGCAUAGGGGCUUCUGGAACAUGACGUGCCCGAAAUACCUCACAGAACUCAACCCAAGAACUUAACGUCCUUCUGGCUGCAGCACAAGGUAUUCUGUCCACCAACUAAACUUGGCUUCCAGUCUUCAAAAACAAGGAAAGGUAGCAUAGAAAGGCAAAGACAGACAACAUGAACAGGGUAGACGAAACACGUACUAAAGCUACUACAUAGGGGGUUUAACUUAAAGUUAUAUGUCAUGAUGCAUGCUCGUCCUAUUCGUCCUCACAAUCUUGCUAGCAUAUAGUGGCUUGCACGCUCUAUGGCGGUGGCAUACCUACUCACUCCGGAGUUAACUAGUCGUAAUUUCCUAGAGUUUAGUCAGUGUACCUACAGAAUAUUCCAUUACAGCCCAAAUCCCAUGAUGCAAUUCACACAUUUGGUCACAAUUUAUACUCCAUAUAUUUCUAUAUGGAGGCCAGCUCCUCAUUAAGCGCCGAGCCACGCAUAGGCACCGCUGCCACACUUUUAACCACAGGGCAGCCCAUUGUGGUAACUUACUUUCUUACCUGCGUGUAGGUGCGUCGUUACAAGUACGUUACACUUUUCAGUAUUCCCAUGUCUGUAUACCCAUACACAUCCAUGGGGUACUCAAUUCCCAGAAAAAUAAUUGCUCCACAAUGCAACCUUCAUAUAUACAUACGUAGAAUAUGUAUAUAGUCUAGUGCCACAUUUAAGCACUCCCCUAGACCGACGGUUGUUCGGUCAUGCUCUCACAACUCACCUUUACCUGAGCGUCGAUCCAUUCAAAACUGAAUGGCACUAAAAGUAACAUUACACAUGUAUGCAUUACCCUUCCCAGGUUGUGGGUUAGUGGUUAGCAUCUUAAACUAAGCCACCUGAUAGUCCUUAGUUUUAACCACAUAUUAUUUGCACUUCUACUAUCAGGCCUUGAUUAUAGAUUCUUAAGUUUAUAAAAAUCAUUUUGAAGUUUAUCAAAGGAUUACUUUAAUAUCCAUGCUAAUGGGGGAUCGCUCCGAUACCACGCUGUGACAGCCCUCCCAAGUUAUCAGACCCACAUGCACCAAUCCUUGCCUUAAUGGCCUCAGAUGGUUGUGCACGUGUACCGGGUAACUUAACAAGGCUAUCGAGUUCGCCAACUGGAACUCAUCAUCCCAAGGAUCUCCCACAUAACAGGUAUAUUACAGUAAUCACAUUUGAUACACACACAUUGGAGAUAGAGCGGAAGACUUUUACAAAGUACACUUUACAUUCCAGAACUCAAGUUUUACAUGGUAGAAAGAGAUGUAUUUAUUACAAGUCCUGAUAGUACUUGAAGGGCAUAACUUAACUACAAUAAUUGGAAGGGUGAAGCCUUUCCAUAAGAGAUAUAUAAAAACCUUCUAAGCUUCAAGUCCUCCACAUGAAGUAACUAACCCAAAGAUAAGGGAAUAAAACUUCUCCUACAAAAACAACAAGGGAUAAAACCCUGAGUACGCAAUUACUCAGCAAGACUUACCCGACUAAAGAAAAGACUCUCAAGGGUAUGCUGUCUUUUGGGAAUCAAGGUAAAGCUCAUCAAAGUUCAAGAACUCAUUUUGCAGAAAAGCUUACUAGAAGUGGGUCCUUAAGCCAAGUUUUAUUUCACAAGUUAGUUUAUUACCUGAAUCUUCUAGCCUGAAUCUAGCAUUUUCCUAAUCUAGAUCAUUCACUUGACCUACACUAGGUUCCUUUUAAAUCCAAAUUUUUGUUUCGCUUGUUAUCUACGAUGAAGGGCAGCGAUCCAGUCUUCAUAUCCGAGAAGUAACGGCGAUCCGAAUCGAUUAAUACCCAGCUGGGGAUCUCCAACCACACGACAUAUGCUUCCCUUAACCUUUUUUUUGCACAUGUCUACCAUUCCCACGGAUCCUCCAUCACAUGAACAGGUCCGCGCCACCCGAGAGCACACCACCCCUUUUAGGCGGUCCUUUGCCAGGAGGGUACGUGCCACUCUCGCCAUCUCUCCACUCCCAGUGCGCGAUUGUCUUUUCACGUAUGGAAUAGCCGGGUUCAGGCUUACCCAUGACGAGGUAUGUGGCCAGAUAAAAGGUCCUAGAUCAUCAGGCCAACAAUCGGUACGGUCCUUAAUCGACACAGACGGGCGACCUUUCCUGCUCAGCGUCUGGUCCCAUUUUAAACUAUUUCAAAAUUUUGGCGCCUGGCAGAGGGGCCAUGCCUGGAUAAUGAAUUUAUCAACGUCUUGAUGCCUUCAUUAUCCCAAGCCCAUUUUCUUUUUGUGAAAACAUGAGUCAUAGAUCAAAAACAUUUUUCUUAGUCUAUCAGCAUGACUAAGCAUCUCUAGCUUUUAUAAAACAGGUGACAAGGUAUGGUAAUCAAUCUUUCAAGGAUGGUAAUGCAUCAAGUGUUUAAUCAAUCAACUCCUAUCACCUAAUGCAGCAUAUAAGUGAUAAAAUUUUGUAAACACAAGGGAGGUGGCAAAUGCACCGGGGCUUGCCUUAUUGCAGGAGUAGAUCCCAAAAUUAUUCUACUCUGUAAGUAGUUAGAUAAAACUCCACCACUGGAUCAAGAGGCUCUGGAGUGAACUCCUUUUUCAGACACCGCUUCUUCUCUAGAUGUUCUACAAGUCAAUUGCAAAUACAUGGAUGCUUAUGUAAGGAUAUGAAAUGCAAAGUCUCUAGACUCUCACAACUAUGCAUACAUUCAAGCAAGCAACCAUACCAGCGGCCACCGCUUACCACAGACGUUCGCGCAGAACUGGGAGAACGACGAUGCUGCAGUGAGGUUGCGAGAAUGAGCGUGGGGUCGAUGGCCGACGACCGCUGGCAAGUGUGCAGCGACACACACCAUGGGCUGGGAAGAACCGGAGAUGACAUGCGGCGAGCUCUGGCCAGUUGAACGACGCAAAGCAUGUCAACUCGAAUGCGAGUUCGGUGACAAGUAAAGCUCAUGGAGAAAUUCACUAAAGGCCGAGAGAUGGCAGGGAAAUUAUUGAACUGUAGAGCACAGCAAUAGGAAAAAGGAAGGAGGAAGAUUACUGCACUUUGGAUUUUAAACUAGGAAGGAGAGGAGAAUUGCACGCGCAGCCAGCCACACGUCCCAG
This 6799-nucleotide long non-coding RNA is filed under the name Zea mays. Its description in RNAcentral is "long non-coding RNA (ZMAY_LNC001182)". The record is from RNAcentral. Lineage: Eukaryota; Viridiplantae; Streptophyta; Magnoliopsida; Poales; Poaceae.